GACGAACGCUGGCGGCGUGCUUAACACAUGCAAGUCGAACGGAAAGGCCCCUUUGGGGGUACUCGAGUGGCGAACGGGUGAGUAACACGUGAGUAACCUGCCCUUGACUUCGGGAUAACUUCAGGAAAAUGGGGCUAAUACCGGAUAGGAAUCAUUGCUGCAUGGUGGGGGUUGGAAAGCUUCGGCGGUUUUGGAUGGACUCGCGGCUUAUCAGCUUGUUGGUGGGGUAGUGGCUUACCAAGGCUUUGACGGGUAGCCGGCCUGAGAGGGCGACCGGCCACAUUGGGACUGAGAUACGGCCCAGACUCCUACUGGAGGCAGCAGUGGGGAAUAUUGCACCAUGGGCGGAAGCCUGAUGCAGCAACGCCGCGUGCGGGAUGACGGCCUUCGGGUUGUAAACCGCUUUCAGCAGGGGCGAAGCUUGUGGUGACGGUACCUGCAGAAGAAGCACCGGCUAACUACGUG
This 465-nucleotide ribosomal RNA is filed under the name uncultured bacterium. RNAcentral describes it as "partial 16S ribosomal RNA". It matches the Rfam family "Bacterial small subunit ribosomal RNA", at positions 28 to 507 of the family's 1533-position model. The record is from RNAcentral.